CCGCGAAUGGCUCAUUAAAUCAGUUAUGGUUCCUUAGAUCGUUUCUUUCUACUUGGAUAACUGUGGCAAUUCUAGAGCUAAUACAUGCAGGAAACCUGAAGGCCUUUGGCUGACGGGUGCUUUUAUUAGACCAAGACCCAUCGGGUUCUGCCCGUACUCUGUGGUGACUCUGGAUAACUUUGUGCCGAUCGCACGGCCACGAGCCGGCGACGUUUCUUUCAAGUGUCUGCCUUAUCAACUUUCGAUGGUAGGUUACUUGCCUACCAUGGUUGUUACGGGUAACGGAGAAUCAGGGUUCGAUUCCGGAGAGGGAGCCUGAGAAACGGCUACCACAUCCAAGGAAGGCAGCAGGCGCGCAAAUUACCCACUCCCGGCACGGGGAGGUAGUGACGAAAAAUAACAAUACGGGACUCUUUUGAGGCCCCGUAAUUGAAAUGAGUACACUCUAAAUCCUUUAACGAGGAUCAAUUGGAGGGCAAGUCUGGUGCCAGCAGCCGCGGUAAUUCCAGCUCCAAUAGCGUAUACUAAAGCUGCUGCGGUUAAAAAGCUCGUAGUUGGAUCUCAGUUCCAGACGAGUAGUGCAUCUACCCGAUGCGACGGCUCGGACUGAACAUCAUGCCGGUCUCCUCUUGGUGCCCUUCAUUGGUGCGUCUCGAAGUGGCCGGUGCUUUUACUUUGAAAAAAUUAGAGUGCUCAACGCAGGCGAGUCGCCUGAAUAAACUUGCAUGGAAUAAUGGAACAAGAUCUCGUUUCUGUUCCGUUGGUUUUUGGAAUACGAGAUAAUGAUUAAGAGGGACAGACGGGGGCAUUCGUAUUGCGGCGCUAGAGGUGAAAUUCUUGGACCGUCGCAAGACGAACUACUGCGAAAGCAUUUGCCAAGAAUGUUUUCUUUGAUCAAGAACGAAAGUCAGAGGUUCGAAGGCGAUCAGAUACCGCCCUAGUUCUGACCAUAAACGAUGCCAACCAGCGAUCCGCCUGAGUUACUCAAAUGACUCGGCGGGCAGCUUCCGGGAAACCAAAGUAUUUGGGUCCGGGCGG
Molecule: ribosomal RNA, 1038 nt
Filed under: Amblyomma triguttatum (ornate kangaroo tick)
Lineage: Eukaryota; Metazoa; Arthropoda; Arachnida; Ixodida; Ixodidae
Description: SSU rRNA
Rfam family: Eukaryotic small subunit ribosomal RNA
Source: RNAcentral